AGAGUUUGAUCCUGGCUCAGAACGAACGCUGGCGGCGUGGAUAAGACAUGCAAGUCGAGCGCUGAUUACGGGGUAGCAAUAUUUCGUAGUCGGAGCGGCGCAAGGGUGCGUAACACGUGGGUAAUCUGCCGUGAAGCUUGGAAUAACUCGCUGAAAGGCGAGCUAAUACCGAAUGCGACUUCUAGGGGGCACCUCUGGAAUUCAAAGCUGGGGACCGUAAGGCCUGGCACUUCACGAUGAACCCGCGGCCUAUCAGCUAGUUGGUGAGGUAACGGCCCACCAAGGCUAAGACGGGUAGCUGGUCUGAGAGGACGACCAGCCACACUGGAACUGAGGCACGGUCCAGACACCUACGGGUGGCAGCAGUCGAGAAUUUUUCACAAUGGGCGAAAGCCUGAUGGAGCGACGCCGCGUGGGGGAUGAAUGGCUUCGGCCCGUAAACCCCUGUCAUUCGGGAUCAAUGCGUCUGGGUGAAUAUCCCAGACGUUGAUAGUACCGGAAGAGGAAGGGACGGCUAACUCUGUGCCAGCAGCCGCGGUAAUAC
This 544-nucleotide ribosomal RNA is filed under the name uncultured Verrucomicrobiales bacterium. Its description in RNAcentral is "bacterial SSU rRNA". It matches the Rfam family "Bacterial small subunit ribosomal RNA", at positions 8 to 526 of the family's 1533-position model. Lineage: Bacteria; Pseudomonadati; Verrucomicrobiota; Verrucomicrobiia; Verrucomicrobiales. The record is from RNAcentral.